CCUACGGGUGGCAGCAGUGGGGAAUAUUGGACAAUGGGGGCAACCCUGAUCCAGCCAUGCCGCGUGUGUGAAGAAGGCCCUCGGGUUGUAAAGCACUUUCAGUGAGGAAGAACGCCUGGUGGUUAAUACCCAUCAGGAAAGACAUCACUCACAGAAGAAGCACCGGCUAACUCCGUGCCAGCAGCCGCGGUAAUACGGAGGGUGCGAGCGUUAAUCGGAAUUACUGGGCGUAAAGCGCGCGUAGGUGGCUUGAUAAGCCGGUUGUGAAAGCCCCGGGCUCAACCUGGGAACGGCAUCCGGAACUGUCAAGCUAGAGUGCAGGAGAGGAAGGUAGAAUUCCCGGUGUAGCGGUGAAAUGCGUAGAGAUCGGGAGGAAUACCAGUGGCGAAGGCGGCCUUCUGGACUGACACUGACACUGAGGUGCGAAAGCGUGGGUAGCAAACAGGAUGAGAUACCCGAGUAGUC
RNAcentral lists this ribosomal RNA (465 nucleotides) under Vreelandella stevensii. RNAcentral describes it as "partial 16S ribosomal RNA". It matches the Rfam family "Bacterial small subunit ribosomal RNA", at positions 338 to 795 of the family's 1533-position model. Lineage: Bacteria; Pseudomonadati; Pseudomonadota; Gammaproteobacteria; Oceanospirillales; Halomonadaceae. The record is from RNAcentral.